RNAcentral lists this ribosomal RNA (251 nucleotides) under uncultured bacterium. RNAcentral describes it as "partial 16S ribosomal RNA". It matches the Rfam family "Bacterial small subunit ribosomal RNA", at positions 524 to 774 of the family's 1533-position model. The record is from RNAcentral.
UACGUAGGGAGCAAGCGUUGUCCGGAUUUACUGGGUGUAAAGGGAGCGUAGGCGGCGAUGCAAGUCAGAAGUGAAAGCCCGGGGCUCAACUCCGGGACUGCUUUUGAAACUGUAUGGCUAGAUUACAGGAGAGGCAAGUGGAAUUCCUAGUGUAGCGGUGAAAUGCGUAGAUAUUAGGAGGAACACCAGUGGCGAAGGCGGCUUGCUGGACUGUAAAUGACGCUGAGGCUCGAAAGCGUGGGGAGCAAACA